This 491-nucleotide ribosomal RNA is filed under the name uncultured bacterium. Its description in RNAcentral is "partial 16S ribosomal RNA". It matches the Rfam family "Bacterial small subunit ribosomal RNA", at positions 27 to 507 of the family's 1533-position model. The record is from RNAcentral.
GAUUGAACGCUGGCGGCAUGCCUUACACAUGCAAGUCGAACGGCAUCGCGGGAAAGCUUGCUUUCCUGGCGGCGAGUGGCGAACGGGUGAGUAACACAUCGGAACGUACCGGCUAGUGGGGGAUAACCCGUCGAAAGACGGGCUAAUACCGCAUACGCUCUUCGGAGGAAAGCAGGGGACCUUUGGGCCUUGCGCUAGUCGAGCGGCCGAUGUCCGAUUAGCUAGUUGGUGGGGUAAAGGCCUACCAAGGCGACGAUCGGUAGCGGGUCUGAGAGGACGAUCCGCCACACUGGGACUGAGACACGGCCCAGACUCCUACGGGAGGCAGCAGUGGGGAAUCUUGGACAAUGGGGGCAACCCUGAUCCAGCAAUGCCGCGUGGGUGAAGAAGGCCUUCGGGUUGUAAAGCCCUUUCGGCAGGGAAGAAAUCGGCGGGGCGAAUAACCCUGCUGGAUGACGGUACCUGCAGAAGAAGCACCGGCUAACUACGUG